RNAcentral lists this ribosomal RNA (199 nucleotides) under uncultured bacterium. RNAcentral describes it as "partial 16S ribosomal RNA". It matches the Rfam family "Bacterial small subunit ribosomal RNA", at positions 1294 to 1500 of the family's 1533-position model. The record is from RNAcentral.
CGGAUCGGAGUCUGCAACCCGACUCCGUGAAGCUGGAUUCGCUAGUAAUCGCGCAUCAGCCAUGGCGCGGUGAAUACGUUUCCGGGCCUUGUACACACCGCCCGUCAAGCCAUGGGAGCCGGGGGUGCUUGAAGUGCGUCGCCGCAAGGCGCGCCCUAGAGCAAAACCGGUGACUGGGGCUAAGUCGUAACAAGGUACC